This is a non-coding RNA of Solanum lycopersicum (tomato), 1500 nucleotides long. Lineage: Eukaryota; Viridiplantae; Streptophyta; Magnoliopsida; Solanales; Solanaceae. The record is from RefSeq and is a predicted model, not a curated record.
UAGCACUCAACUUCAAAAUGUGGUAUCUUGAGCUUGGGAGCUCUGAUUGAGGCAAUUCAAAUUGUUGGGGGUCUGUGUUGGUUGUUGCUACACGUUAGAGUUUUAGGGAAGUGUUGCAGGCUCUCUGUUUGCGGUAUAUUCUACUCGAAGGGUCUACCAUCUCUCUUUUGUUUUCUUCGGUUGGUGUUUUAUUUGCAUGUGGUUGUUCCGGCUGUUUUAGGCAUGGAAAUGAGCCUCGAUUUGGGUAAUGUCUAUAUCUUAUCCCCCAGGUCCUACCCCCAACCUAGAGUAGCUAGGUGGGGAAGUAAAAUCAAUCCUUUUACAUACAUAGGCUUCUCGGGUAGGAAAUGGGCCACUUCAAAUAGGUUCAUUGCUCCGGCCCAAAAUACAACUAAUCCAGCAUGGGCUACAUGAGCCCCUAGUAGUUUACCGGAUAGAUUGAUAAGUCGGUCAUUCCCGACCCACAAAGCGGAAGCUGUGGCUUCUUGGUCACGACCAUCUAAGGCUAAAUUUCUAUUCAAGAGCGUUUCCACGUGGUAGAACCUCCACAUGGAAUUUAAGGUUUUCAUGAGGCUGAUCUUGAGCCGCCAUCAUUUUCACCCUUUUUGUGUCUGAUUCCAUCUAAUCUUUUUCAAGAUCGCUUUGAUAUUUUGAAAACACAGGUCUCAAAUUUCCUUUUUUUUCUAUAUCUGAUCCACUCUCUCUUUGACUUGGGUGUUCUUUUGCUUCUUGACUUCGAUUCUUUAUUUUUAUUUUUUAUUUGAUGGUAGAAAAAAGUUUUAUUUUUUGUUUUUAUUUUGACUAACAGUUUCAUUUGUAUUCAAACUAAAAAGAACGAAUUUGCUUGGUAUAAUUCACGAUUUCAUUCCUAUCCAAUCAAAAAAGGCUUUUUCGAUUUUUUUUAGUUUUUUCUAAAUAUUGGUGAGUUGUCAAAUAAAAAACCCUUUUGUCAAUUUUAUGAAAUAUUUGAUAAUUAUUACUACCAAUUUUAGUAUUUGGAUUAUUGUUGGUAUCGAUCUUAGCCCAGGCUGUUUAUCUAAUAGAAAAAUGGAUAAUUUUCCAAUCAAAAUAUUUUAUACCGAGAUUUCUUUCUCUAUCUAGAAUAUUUCUCUUUCUUAGGUAAUUAUUCAUAUAGGAGGAAUCAAUGCAAUUUAGGAGGAAUCAAUGAGAGGAAAUCAAUUCAAAUCAUGGAUUUUCGAACUGAGAGAUCAAGAAUUCUCACCAUUUCUUAGAUUCAUGGACCCAAUGCAUUUCUUCUUUUUGGUCUCAUUUAACAUAUAAUAGUAAAGGGAAAAAACUUCUCUUAUAGAUUAUAUAGAAAAUACUUAUAUACAAUUAUAUACAAAAUAUAUAAAUACAGAACUCGUCCUAAGAAGGGGAUGUAUUUUUUUUUGUUUUAAGAAAAGGAAAAUCUUUUUUCCCGAAUCAUUGGUACAAUCUCGACAUCCACAAUGGCGUUGUGAUUGACAAUAUAUAGAGUGGGGGUGUUCGAAGAAGUUU